Molecule: long non-coding RNA, 6133 nt
Filed under: Olea europaea subsp. europaea
Lineage: Eukaryota; Viridiplantae; Streptophyta; Magnoliopsida; Lamiales; Oleaceae
Source: RNAcentral
GCUUGAUAAAUCAAUGAUCUAUUUUCACUUGUGCUUCUUAACUUCAACUAGAUGGACGUAUAUAAGAUCUUCUGUUGGAAUAAAUUUUUCGAUCAUCAUACGUACAUGUAGAGAAAGUCAAAAGCUCUGGUGUCGGAUUGACUACUGCUGCUCUUUUGUCCAUGGUAUUUUUUACGCAUAUUUUUGUUCAUUUGUAGCAUUUUAUUUGUUAGAUUUUAGAUACAUACACAUUUCUUUAAUAACGUUUCCCCACCAAUUGCCGAAUUUUGACAUGAACAUUUAAAUUUUAUUUUUUUUCAUUUUAUUCUCUUUCUUAUUCUAACCAUUUUGUUAUUUUUGUUUUGAGGAAUUUGAGCAUUUGUUUAAAGUAUAUAUAAACUACAAAUUGUGUGUGUUUGGUGUUGGCAAUCCUUGGAGCAAGCUUAUUGGUACAAACUAUGUAUUUGGCCUUGUACUACAAAAUCGGAGGUAAAAUGAUUUUCACAAGGUUUAUUAAUUAUUAGCUAGACAAUUAAUUGAUAAUAUUUCUUUUCCAAUCUGAUUUGUUCUAAUUUAAAACCGGUAUUUGAUUUGUAUUUUUAAUUUAUGGUUAAUUCUAUAAUAUCUAAUUGUAAAGUCACUUGCACUUCCAAUUUUAACAACGUUGCAUUGUAGUUUAUGUCUGUUGCAAUUAAAAGAUUGAAUCAUUAAAUACUAUCAAAAGGGAUAAUCUUUUGAUUUAUAAGUAAUUAAAAUAAGGUCUGUUAAUAUAAAUAUUAUAAAUUUAGGCACUAACCUUUAUUUUUUCUAUUGAUACUGCAUUUAGUUGCUUCUCUUUUUCUUAUUUGAGUUCUGUUAUGUGGAUCUUUCACUUAUUUGAAUUCUGAAGAAAGGAGGUCGUUCACUCGACGAAGACUUGCUCCCAUGACAAGCAUAUCAUUCAAAUCUGAUUAAUGUUUGUUUUAUUUGAGUGCUUUGCAACCUUCUUUUACUGCCAAUGGUAGCAUGUUUGAUAUAGAAAAUUGGAUAAUGUAGAUAGUAUUAUGAAAUGUCAAGACACUCAAGAUUAACCAACAUUCAUAGAAACCGAACCAAGAAAUGCAGAAAAUAAAAGUGCAGAAAUAAUGAACACGAUGAUUUUUUCGGCCGAAGCCCCAGAGGUUCAGCACAAGUGCCUAAUCCCCUGUUGAGCAUCCACUAUCAAUGGAUUUAGCUCGGUUGCACUAUAAGGCCCCCAAAAUUAGGUAGUAAGUAUACAAUGUUUCCAGAAUAUUACAAUAUACAAUUCACAAAGACUUAUCUCAUAAAGAUUCACCAAGGCAGACCACGGUUCACGAAGAAACCACGAACAGAUCACUCAGACACUUAAGUCACAGGAACAACCAUCCAAGAAUCACAUGACUUCACAAGUCAUUAUACAACAUGUAAGCUAUUCCACACAGAAAACACAAGAAAUCACCAAGAUUUCAUCAAACCCGACUGCACAUCAUAUGAAACCACUCAGGUUUCCAUAAACUCAACACGGCAGUUCAGCAGCUUAGAGAUCUAUAACAUAUUAUGGAUUAACUCAAGAAAGAGUUCUGAAAAUCACUCAAGAAAAGAGCCAAAAUGAGAGAUUCAUCGAGAGAGAAAGAGAGGCGACUCAAAAAACCCUCGAACUCGAGAAGCCGAAUGGAGUUAAAAUGAAAACCAACAGCCACCCAAACCAUUCAGGGUUAAAUACAUAGAAUGAUCCAGAAUCAUAUCCAACGGCCAAGAGAUCAGCACAUGUCACAAUUCAGUUAACUCCUUCCAUUAGUAAAGUGUCACUUUACAGAACACGCUUUUUGUUAAAAUUGUGGAAGCAUAAUUUAAAUCAAAGUGAUCAGCAGUUUGACUCCCAACAUAUUAUAGAUAUAAUAAGCUAAAGUUCAUUUUAUUGUUUAGACAUAACCAAUAAUACUUACUAAAAUGCACCAAGACUGUUUUGAGAUAUUGUUUGACCAAUUGAAAAUGAUGACAGCAGUGCAUUGAAACGCAAAGGGAGAACGAGGAUGAGAAAAUGGAUUCACAGAAGCAUAAAUUUGAUGAUAAAAUAGUGGAAAAGAAAGAAGACCUUCGUCAGGUGGUGUCAGUGUGGGUCCAAAGACACUCGGGUCAUCCAAGGAUUUGUUUGAAUACUUCUACAAGUUUUUUCUAGACUCCGAAUCUCAAUAUCAACAUGGUAAAGUGAAAAUAUUGUUUUUAUUUCUAAUAUAAUUAAUUGGGCUGAUUAUUCUUAUAAUAUUAUCAUAUGAUUCUUCUAGCCUAACAUGUGUGCAGUAUUUUUAUUAUUUGUGCCAUCAAGAAAUCCAAACAAGUUCGAACGAGCUUUUUUGUAUUCCAAGAUUGGUGUGCUCAAGUAAGCAACCAUCUUGUGGAAGUAGGAUAUGGAAUGGGAGCCCCCAGGGCACAUCUCCAAGUGGUAAAAAGGGAGGGUGGAGAAAUCCAACUUUGCUUGAGGCUGCCGCAUCGAGGGUUCGAAUCCUGAAAUAUGGAUUUGGCUCUUGGAUAAGUGCAAGUGUACAAGCAGUCUUCCACCCUGUACUCUUGGAGGCAUAACUUAUGAUUUACUUCCCUCACGAUGCUCCAGGACAGGGGCGGUGGGGGACCCUUAAGGUUGGGGUUCAACCUUUUUUUAGGAUAUGGAAUGGGAGUCUUUUCAUUUCUCAGUAUUUAGCAAUAUUUCACCUUUAAUUUUUUAUUGUGUGUUUGGUUCUUCUGGUUUCUUCAACUCUACUGUUGAAUAUUUUAUUUCUUUUCAUAUUCCGUUUGAGGUUAACCUUUAAUUUUUUGUUAGUGUGUUUAGUUCUUCCAAUUUCUUCAGCUAUAGAGUAUUAAUCAUAUCAAAGUAUUAAUUGCAAAAUUGUUUAAAAUAUUUGAAAUAUAUCAUUUAUUUUGCUGAAAACAAUUUUAGAAUAUCUCUGCAUAUAUUUACUAAUUCUGAAACUUUUUCUUUUACGUUGCAAAUGUACUUUAGAAUUUAAUUUUAUUUGUGUGGAGACUAGAUAAUCUAAUUCUGAAAUUGUCUUAUGUGUGUUACUUCCUCGUAGUAAGAGAGUGGUUAAUAAAAAAGUUCUAAAAGUCCCUCCUUUUGAAAGAAUGGUAAUUUUUAUUUUUAUUUUUUUAUUUUUUAUUUUUUAUUUUUUUUGCUUCUUUUAUAUUUUCCAAAUUUCUUCAAUGUCUUAUGGUUACCUUUGUAUUCAUGGAAAGUUUAUAACAUUCAAGUUGUCACCUGAUCAUUUCUUCAAUGUGCUUUCUGAUCAUUUUUUUGUCAUGAAGUGUUCAUUUGUCAUUUCAACAGUUAAGAGCAUCAGAUGAUUUUGGCAGUAAUCUGGAAGCAUAUUAUUUUUUGCUUUUACAUAUUUCUGUGAUGAAAUUUUUUCUUAAGGAAUAUAAUUUAUAAAUUAUUUACUCUGACCCCAAAUUUUUGGGUAAUGAUGUGACCUCUGUUUUACCUCAUUCUUGUCGUAUGUAUUCACUGUUCUUUCUUGGAAUCUACCAUUCUCUUGAAUAUUAAAAUGAAAAAAUUUACAGUCUUUGAUUGUUUUACACGACGUAGAUGAGAUCAGCAGAUUACAUGCUUAUCAAGCAUCGAUCAGUUUCUUUUUUAUACUUACUUUCUUUAUAAGUUAUUCUACAAAUUUCUAGAUAAGCAUGGAAUUUCUUAAGAUGAUUAAGCUAGCAUUUGCAAUGUAUUUUCUUUUGAUAGGCUUUGUUUGAUUUUCAAUAUAUUGAUUCCAAGGGAAGGGAUCAAGGAAGCAAUGUUAGAAGGGAAGCAAUGUUAGAAGGAUAUCUCAAAGUCUUGUAGCCCUUUUAAUGUUAAGGCACAAAUACAAGUACAUGAAAUGCCUGCUGCUAACAGUGACAAGUAAGUUUGCUUCAAGUUUCCUGAUUACCCUUCUUAUGGUAUAAUUAAAUCUUUGAAGUAUCAUUUUGUAACUAUUACUUUCCAUUUUGUUGACCAUUGCAUUAAUCAAUUGAUGUUAAACUUGACUUUCUUUCGUCUUUGUAUUUCAAUCUAAAAUUUGGAACGUUUCACUUCAUAUUUUCUUUUGGUUGUGUCCAUGUAAGAUCAUUACUGUUAGUGCCUGUCUUUCCUGUUUCUUUUUGAAAAUUUUGAAAUUUUACGAAAGGUAAAAAUAUUAUUAACAUUCAAUAUGAACUUGUGCACAUUUUGUUACUCAACUGUAAUUUCAACCCGUAUUUUUUAUUAGAGGUUGAGUCAUAAAUUAAUUUUUUUAUUUUAUAUCUUGAGCUAAUAAUAUAAGGAUGUUGUCCUUGGUUUUUUCUUUUUUCUUUUUUUGUUUUUUUUUUUCAAGGUCCACUAUUAAUUAGGAGAUGGCGGUAUGGGGUUUUUAAGCCUAUUAAAUAGUAAAUAUUCGUUCGAUGGAAAGAACUUUACAUGAGAUGCUUCCUUGUAGGUUAUUUUUGGAUAAAUAUGGAUAAUGUCUGUGUUGCCUCAUACUGGUAAUUGAAAUUCUUGCAACCUUUUGAGUCUGUUAUUAAUCUUCUCAGUUAAUUGAUUUGUACUAUUUUAAAAAAUAUAAACAUGUAGGAUUGGAAUACUAGAUAACCCCUAGCAUUACCUUUGAAUUUGAAAAUUUUGUACCUUCCAGCUAAGAGGUUGUACAGUGAAGACAGAACUAAUUUUAGCCUUACUUUAAUGUCGUGCAUAUAUGAUUACAUAAUCAAUUUACUUAAGUUUUUAACCAAAAAUUUUCCAUACUUUUAACUGUUUUGGAGUGCCAUAGCUGAGAUCAGUGAACAUGCUUAUCAGGUCUAAGUGAGUUUCUUUUUCAUAUGUACCUUGUUUAUAAUCUAUGUUACAAAUUUCUGGAUAACCUUUGAAUUUCUUAGGAUGAUUAAGCUAGCAUUUCUAAUCUAUCUUUCUUUUCAUAGGCAUUGUUCAAUUUUCAAUAUAUUGGCUCCAAUAUGAGGCAUCAAGGAAGCAUGUUAGAAGGGUAUCUUAAGAGUCUUGUAGCCCUUGUAAAUGACUAGGUAACAAAUAGAAGAAGUUCGCGAAUAGGUUCAUGCUACAGGGAUAAGUAAAUUUGUUUCAAGUUUCCCGAUUACCCUUUCAUGACAUAGUUACACUUUAGAAAUAUCAUUUUGUAACAAUUACUUUCCAUUUUGUUGAUCAUUAUAUUAAUCAGCUGAGGUUAAAUAUGACUUCCUUUUGUCUCCGUAUUUCAACCUAAAAUUUGGAAGGUUUCACUUCAUAUUUUCUUGGGGUUGUGACCAUGUCAAAUCAUUACUAUUAGUGCAUGUCUUUCUUGUUUCUUUUUUGAAAAUUUUGAAAUUUUAUGAAAGGCAAAAAGGUGAUUGUAAUUCAAUAUACACUUACGUAUAUUUUGUUACUUAACAGUAACUUCAACAUGUAUUUUUUUGUUAAAUUCUUAUGCUCGGGUAGAGGUUGGGUUAAUUUCAUUUUUUUUUUCAUUGACGUAUGUAAUCAUUUCUUAAAAAUCUCAAAGUCCUACUAUUAGGGCAUGGCGGCAUGGGGCUGUUAAUCCUGUUAGAACAUGCACAGUUUUUUUCGAACCGCAGGUUUCUAUUCAAAUAGGAACAGCCUCUGAAAUAACAUUGCUUGUGAAGCUUCGUGCAAAUGAAGGUAAGGCAAUGGAUCCUCAUGGAUACAUCAAAAUCAAAUGCAAUCGGCUCCUGCAACCAAAAGUAAUGAGCACCGAUUGUUUCCUCCAACAUUUUCUUUCUUUCUUUAUUGGUACAACUUUCUGAUUUUAUAAUGAGAAGACUUUUACCAAGUCAAAUGGCAAGUUCUACAUAAUGGAUAGUAUAAAAGUUACCCACUGGUUGUGAAUAUUAACUGUUUUGUAAAGUACAAAGAACUUAGAAGGGGCAUUUAAUUGUUAUAUUACCCCAUAUCCUACUUCCAAACACAAUGAAUGUUUCAUCCUUCUUAGUGAUCUUAUGAUGCCUCUGUGUUUUGGCAUUUGUCCAACAGGUCGAUAUAUUUUCAUCUCGAAUUGUCUUGUUGAAAUAUUUUUUACCAUUGUAAAACUAAUAGCGUCAUUAUCAUCUUAUAAAUUAAUCGAUUUACUUGUAUGGCUGCUGUAUAUUUUCUGUAUACAUAUGCAAUAAAACCUACAAAAUAGUACAUUUUACACAUAAUGGC